This 200-nucleotide ribosomal RNA is filed under the name uncultured bacterium. RNAcentral's name for it is "partial 16S ribosomal RNA". It matches the Rfam family "Bacterial small subunit ribosomal RNA", at positions 524 to 723 of the family's 1533-position model. The record is from RNAcentral.
UACGAAGGUCCCAAGCGUUGUUCGGAUUUACUGGGCGUAAAGAGUUCGUAGGCGGCAGGGUAAGUCAGAUGUGAAAUCCCAGGGCUCAACCCUGGAACUGCAUCCGAUACUGCCUUGCUAGAGUAGUGGAGGGGCAUCUGGAAUUCACGGUGUAGCAGUGAAAUGCGUAGAUAUCGUGAGGAACACUAGUGGCGAAGGCG